GCCGACAUAGCUCAAUUGGCAGAGCAACCGCCUUGUAAGCGGUAGGUCAUGGGUUCAAGUCCCAUUGUCGGCU
Molecule: transfer RNA, 73 nt
Filed under: Anaerolineaceae bacterium oral taxon 439
Lineage: Bacteria; Bacillati; Chloroflexota; Anaerolineae; Anaerolineales; Anaerolineaceae
Also listed under: 1 other name
Description: tRNA-Thr
Rfam family: tRNA
About the family: Transfer RNA (tRNA) molecules are approximately 80 nucleotides in length. Their secondary structure includes four short double-helical elements and three loops (D, anti-codon, and T loops).
Source: RNAcentral